RNAcentral lists this ribosomal RNA (532 nucleotides) under Bifidobacterium longum. RNAcentral describes it as "bacterial SSU rRNA". It matches the Rfam family "Bacterial small subunit ribosomal RNA", at positions 154 to 701 of the family's 1533-position model. Lineage: Bacteria; Bacillati; Actinomycetota; Actinomycetes; Bifidobacteriales; Bifidobacteriaceae. The record is from RNAcentral.
AAACGGGUGGUAAUGCCGGAUGCUCCAGUUGAUCGCAUGGUCUUCUGGGAAAGCUUUCGCGGUAUGGGAUGGGGUCGCGUCCUAUCAGCUUGACGGCGGGGUAACGGCCCACCGUGGCUUCGACGGGUAGCCGGCCUGAGAGGGCGACCGGCCACAUUGGGACUGAGAUACGGCCCAGACUCCUACGGGAGGCAGCAGUGGGGAAUAUUGCACAAUGGGCGCAAGCCUGAUGCAGCGACGCCGCGUGAGGGAUGGAGGCCUUCGGGUUGUAAACCUCUUUUAUCGGGGAGCAAGCGAGAGUGAGUUUACCCGUUGAAUAAGCACCGGCUAACUACGUGCCAGCAGCCGCGGUAAUACGUAGGGUGCAAGCGUUAUCCGGAAUUAUUGGGCGUAAAGGGCUCGUAGGCGGUUCGUCGCGUCCGGUGUGAAAGUCCAUCGCUUAACGGUGGAUCCGCGCCGGGUACGGGCGGGCUUGAGUGCGGUAGGGGAGACUGGAAUUCCCGGUGUAACGGUGGAAUGUGUAGAUAUCGAA